UCUUCUUAUCUUAAUCUUCUUAUUAGAAUUUUGAAUUUCUAGGUUAUGUUUGGUGAAGUAAGUGUAUUAUUGUGUACAUAAAGUUAUGUUAAAGUACGCAACCUAAACGUAAUUGAAUGUUUUUUUAUAAGCACAUACUAAAACAUUGAUAAGAGUUGAUGGCGUCAAAAUCCUGGAAAGAUUGGACGUACCCAGAUGAAGAUGAAAGACAAUUGCUAUUCAUUGAUUGAAUCAAUUGAAAUUUGUCUGGUGUUUGGUAGUGACUGGGAGGAAUGGCUGUAAUCCAUCGUGCCUUAUUCACCUGGUUCAUUUUUCUAUUGUUUCUCGUUCUUCUAGUUCUUCGGCUUGACUCAAGAAUUCAGUGGAACUGGUUUAUAGUAUUUUUUCCACUUUGGUUUUAUGACAUAAUGUUACUUCUAUGUAUUGUUUUUAACAUGCUAUCUCAGUGCAAAAGUGGCUUAGAUCGGUUCUCAAAUUCCAUUCAAAGGAAAAUUUGUUAUAUAAUCGCUAUAUCUCUCAAGAUAACAUCACAAAUUCUUUGCUGUCUAAGACUGGAAAUGUUUGAGCACAUGCCCAUGUUUUAUGUGUUUGCUCCUAUUUGGGUGCUGAUGCCUGUGUUGUUAACUGAUGUGUUUUUUAGUUUGAUAAAACCAAGUAGCAACAGAUAUUUAUGAAAACAGUAAACCUGUUGAACUAAUUUUAAGGUAAAUUAUAAUUGAUUAAAUAAACAAUUUAAAAAAUUUAUAUGUUUAACGUAAAAAAGUUUAUUAUAUAUAGUAGAACUCCAAUUAUCUGGUCACCUACUAUCCAAAUCGCUUCCAGAAAAAUCUUCAAAACCAAAAACUGCAGUAAAAAAGUGCACAAUAUUAUAAAACAUCAUUGUUUAAUAAGGCAAAAGCAAUGAUGACAGCAAAAUACUGGACAUCUCCUGCAGUCGUGUGGACAUAAACAAUGUGCGGGCAUCUGCUGCGUACAGUCGGAUGUGACGAAAGGGCUGCCUUGUGCAACAGCUACUGCAUAAAAUCACGUUAGAUAACAUAUUGCCCAAGAAGGCCGGAUAACCGAGACUCUACUGUACUUGGUGCUCAAUCACUUGAGCUUGAAGUGGGCUUGUCUAGUCUCGAAAAUCGAUCAGCUUGCACACCUCUACUAAACAACUUACACAGAACACUUGUAGUAUGUGUAAUAUUAUCUUUUAAAAUGUUCUAACUUAAUUUUACAAGUUAUCAUACCAUAUAUAGCAUAUAUAGCAUUUAUGUAUAUAUAUAUAGCAUAUAUGACUAGUGUCAUUUCUUGCUGUACGAUUCUAGUGUCAAUAUUCUUUUAUACAUUUUAGUAGGUUGUAUUAAUUCAAUGAAAAAUUUAUACAGUACCAAAAAUUAAGUAUUUUCCAUAAAAUACCCUCAACUUCGGUAAAAAUCCAUUAUACAGUAUCUGAAUAUGGUAUGGUCCCAUUGAUUCAAAUAAUUGGAGUUUUACUGUUGUAAGAAAAGUGCAAAGUUGUACUUAAAAAAAAAUAUGUUGAUCAUUAAUUUAAUCUUGCUCAUCAAGCUCCUGCUAGAACAAUAUCAAUGUUCUAAGUUUGAUAAUUUUAAUUUAUGUGUUCUUACAUUCCAAAAUGACCUGCACAAAUCAAGAUUUCUUAUUGUGAAAUGGUGUUUACUAAAACAAGAUUGGGAAAACCCAUCCCUAUUUAUACUUAUAGGCUACUAUUUAUAUUGAAUUGGCUGUUUUGUCAACAUUGGUAUUAUGUAACAUUUGGAAAUGUAAUAUAUAUAUUUAUAAA
Molecule: long non-coding RNA, 1786 nt
Organism: Macrosteles quadrilineatus (aster leafhopper)
Lineage: Eukaryota; Metazoa; Arthropoda; Insecta; Hemiptera; Cicadellidae
Exons: 3
Source: RefSeq, a predicted model, not a curated record